Long non-coding RNA from Hemibagrus wyckioides, 2388 nucleotides. RefSeq lists it as uncharacterized. The record is from RefSeq and is a predicted model, not a curated record. The transcript has 3 exons. NCBI's taxonomy places the organism in Eukaryota, Metazoa, Chordata, Actinopteri, Siluriformes, Bagridae.
AGUCGAGUCGAGUCAGAGUCAUGACUGAGACCAUGCUGAUGAAGAGGUUUGUGAGUGAUGGAUACAAUAAAAGCUACAAACUAAAGGUGGUGAAGAUGUGCAGCUGAAGAUCGCUGGAACGACCAGAGAGAGAAGAAAAGAUUUCUGGAGCUCUGCUGGGAUGUGAAAUGAGCUGGAGAUGUGAGCAGCUGACAUCAAACUCAUCAGUGGAGCACAAGCUGCUGAGAGAAGUGAGGAAGAACAGACACGCUAAUCACUCCGUUCUGCUAAAUCACCCGAGUGACACUUCACACACACACACAUAUAUACACACCUAUAAAAGCUCAGAGAGAGAGAGAGAGAGAGAGAGAGAGAGAAGGAACGAUAGAAACAUACACAGAGACAUAAUGAGCGACAGAGAUAGAGCCAGAAAGAGACAGAUUAAGGAGAGAGUGAGACACAGCAGAGAAAAGACAUAAAGGCAGAGACAGACAGACAGACAGAGAGCCAGAAAGACAGAGAGACAGACAGAGGAAGAGUAAGACCCACAAAUAGAAAGAUUGAGAAGGAUGAAGAAGAGAUAGACACUUAGGGAGAGCAAGACAUAGUGUGAGACAGAUUGAGGAGAGAGAGAGAGAGAGAGAGAGAGAGACAGCAGAGAGAAGGACAAAGACAGACAGACAGAGAGAGAGACACACACAAAGAGAUAGAGAGAGAGAGGGAGAGAGAGAGAGAAAUAGACAGAGAGAGAGAGAGCGAGAGAGAGCGAGAGAGAGAGAGAGAGAGACUCUAGGGGGCAGUGUUGCAUUGUACUACAGUGGAAUAUGUAAAAAUAAAAAACUAAACUAAUAAAAAUAUUAAUUUCUAAUAAUAAAUAAUAAAUAAUUUUAUUCUGAUCCAGACAGAAACAAACUCUCUUUAUCUAAUCAUUAGGACUCUUUAGUCACAUGAGAACAGGUUAAGGUGUUGGACUGCUGACCAGAAGGUUGUGAGUUCAAAUCCCAAAUCCACCAAGCUGCCAUCACUGGGCCCCUGAGCAAGGCCCUUAACCCUCUGGUGCUCAGCUGUAUUAAACUCAGAUGAAAUGUAAGUCACUGUGCGUCUGACAGACAUCGGGAGUUGUUAUUGUGAGUGAAGCAGCUGUAAUGUAAGUGAUAACAGAAAUGUUCUUCACAGUAUUCAGUGUAACUACAGUAUAAAUAGAUUCAUUAUAUUAUAAAGUGAUUAUGAGUCUCAAGCAGCACUUCUCCCUUAUCUCUUUUCCCCAGAGGCUAAAAAAUAGAGUUUCCUCCUGUUUUUAUCGUGUCCAUGUUGAUGAUUGAGAGUCUUGGUCAUGUCUCAGUCCACAGUGGAGGUUAAUGUGAAGCUCAUAUGAAAGUAGACACUCAGGAACUUUAGGAAUUUGUAGAGUUUCAGAAGGAUUUCUGUGUCUUUUUCCCUAGACUACUAGGGGCGAUAUAUUCAUAGAGAAGUAUAGAAAAAAUAAAAAACUUUCUGCUCUCUGAGAUGUUCUCCAAGGGCUUGUUCGUCUAAAAAGCACCUCAGAUUUCAUCUUCAACCAGAAAAAUUCUGUGUAAGGUUCUCCAACAGAGGGAAAAACACACGUCUAAAACACACUGAAAGCUAAACAGACUGGUUUUAGAUCAGACUCACAGCCUGAACAUCAUUCAUUUCUUUAUCCUGAGUGAAAAUAUUGAUUGCAAAUGAGUCCAUUUCCUUUCCACUGGCGCUGUGGAACACCAGCGUGUUAAUAAAAAGGGUCAUUAAUGAGUAUUUCUGUUAUUAAUUAGUAAUUAGAAAAAGUGAAUUGUUGGCAAAUUGCUGUGGUAUGAAACAGUGAGGAAAUCCACAACGUCUAUUUCCCAGCAUGUAGCGCUGCAAACAAAAUGGCCGCCGUGGACUACACUCCCCAAAACACACACACACACACACACACUCACACACACACACACCUCACAGACCUUACGAGACACCUUCACUCUGUUAGAUUAAAAUAAAUCUCUCAUUCUAACAGAUGGUCAUUAAAUAAUCGAUGCUUCAUGAUCAUACUGUGUGACCUGUGAUGUUUGUGUCCACCCCCAGACUUCUGUGAGUUCUUGUUAAGCUCCAUGAGAUAACCAGGAGAAGGUCGCAUUCUUCCUCCAUAACCUGGUGUCAGAAAAAUCAUUCAGAGAGAUUUGGAUUCAGCUUCCAGCUUUCGAGAAAUUCGUGAUCCAUCCUCACCUGGAAAAGAAUUCCUAACACACUCUCAGCUCACACACGCUGUUCCCGACGUUAUUAAGCUUUACAUGUUGUUUAUUGAUGCCCUGGUUUGGACCUAAGCUCUGUAUUUUGUUUUUUAAAGCCCCUGUUUGUGUUGUUUGCAAAUCAUCUGACCUUUACCUGGUUUUUUAUGACCUGGAUCAUCGC